This 4164-nucleotide long non-coding RNA is filed under the name Marmota monax (woodchuck). Lineage: Eukaryota; Metazoa; Chordata; Mammalia; Rodentia; Sciuridae. The record is from RNAcentral.
AUUUGGAAGGGCCACAUAUGGAUGAGAUAAGAGGUGAGGAAUUCUCAAGAAAGGAGGGGAAGACAUUCAUUCAUUUAUCCAACAGAUAUUUAUUGAGUUGCCUCAAGCCAGAUAUCGUUUUAUAUUCUGAGGAUAUGGCAGUGAAAAUAUUCCUGCUCUCCUGAAAUUUAUGUUGUAGGGAUGGAAGUUAGGAAAGGACUAUUUUCCUUCCCUAGCCUGAGAUGGCCCCAAUAUGACAAGAUAUUAGUAAAAGCAGCAUGAAUAACCAUGGCUGUGUUUGGCUAUGGUUAACUCAAGAGUCUUCUGUCUGCUAAAUUUGAAUAUUUUGUGUCAAGGACACUUUUUACACCAUAAUUUUGAUUUUGAUGUUAAUCUUCUUCAUGCAUUCCAAACUGCCCUCUACGGAAUGGACCUCACUCACAUUAAAUUCCUAAUUUUCUUUUACUUUGUCGGGACGUUUUGUGAGUGUUGUAACUAUGUGCAUUUUUUUUUUUUAAUAAUUGAGAAAGGGUCUCCCCUUUUGUGUUUGGCAUAACAUGGGUCUUAAAGGGUAAGUAGAAAUUUAGAAAGAGGGAACUAAGUAGCAGGAAAGUCCUGUUUGGCUCUGGGAGCCCCCAAGGUCUUGCCUAUUUCAAAAUGCACUCCUUGAUGGUUGCAAAAUAUUGAUAUUGUGGCACUCCUUUGUGUUGGAGGGGUGUUGGAGAGAAUGAAUUUCCAUUUUCGAACUGCUGCUGCCUAGCUGUGUGUUUUAGUUAGUUUUGUGACACUAACCAAAAGACCUGAAGAGAACAACUUAGAGGAGGAAAAGCUUAUUUUGACUUAGGGUUUCAGAAGUUCAGUUCAUAGCACUGGCCCAAGAUGAAGCAGAGCAUUGUGGUGGAAGGGCAUGGCUGAAGGAAGCUGCUCAGGAUAUGACAACCAGGAAGCAGAGGGAGAGAGUUCUGCUCACCAGGAACAAAAUAUAAACCCCAAAGGCACACCCCCAGUGAUCUUCUUCUAGCCACACCCUAUCUGCCUGUAAUUACUGCCCAGAUUCAUCUACCAAUUAAGUUAAUGCUCUUAUAACCCAGUCAUUCCACCUCUGAACAUUCUUACAUCAUCUCACAUGUGAACUUUUGGGGGAUACCUCAUAUCUAAAUUAUAACACUGUGUGAUCUUAAGCAAAUCACCUUUUUUUUUCAGAUUUUCUAUUAUUAUUUUUUUUGUACCAUACAAUUUUAUAUUUUUUUAGUCAUACAUGACAGCAGAAUGUAUUUUGACAUAUAAUACAUACAUGGAAUGUACAUACAUCAAUCAUAUUGUCUAUUCUAUUCUGCUGCCCAACAAAUUACCUUCUUAGAGCCUCAAUUUGUUUACCUAUAAAAAUAGGUUUAUAAUACCAACCUGUCAUAGAGAUAUUAAAUGAGGAAUAAAUGCAAUAACUUAUACAAAUUAUUUUUCAUGGUUCCUUCUGCUAAAUACCUCCUUGAGUGAAAGCAUUGCUAAAUGCUCCCUAGCACAGUAGAAAUUGUGUUAUCUGGGAGAGGAACUUCUGACCCAGUAAACUUGUUAAUGCAUGUGCUUGAAUUAGUGAUAUUAACUUUUUGUUAAUUAAAUAACUAGACUUCAGGGAAUAGUAUAAAGAACAAGUUUCAAUUUAGGAACAGGUGGUUGGGAAAUGUCUGUGGGAUGGGCUCAUAUAUGUGGGUAGGACCAAAUGAAGUGUGGACUGAGGGGAUGGUAUACAGUGCUAAAUGCCAGGGGAGUGCUAUAACUAGGGCAGCAAACACUGGGAAUCUGGAAACAAACUCUGUUUCUCUCAUCAUUUGUCUGGGUUUGUGUUUGUUUAUAGCUGAGUCCUCCCGUUUUCACAGUGAUUCUGAAGACCCUGAUCACCUGCUCAGCACUGACCUGAAGAACUCUUUUCAGGGAUGGACCCAUUGGAUACCAAAAGUGGUUUGGAUAAUCUGUCCAACUAUUCUUGAUAAGUUAUCUGAAUAAUAAUAAAAAACUCAACAGAAGAGGUAACCAUUUAAGUAUUUUAUUAUUAAUUUUGAAGAUGUUUGCCAUACUUUUAUGUUACAGAAGAGUAAGGUACAGAAAAUUUGAGGAACUUUUUUUUAAAAAUUGCAUCAGGAUCAGAAGUGUAGGUCUUAUAUCUGACUAUUGGCCUGAGAUUUCAUUUCUAGAAUUCUGAAAUCCCAAAAGCUCUAAAAACCAGAAUCAUUUCUGUUUUGUUUUUCCAAUUUUUUAUUGUGGUAAAAUACACAAUAAAAUUUAUCCUCUUAACCAUUCUGAAGGUAUAAUAUCCCACCAUCACCAUCAUCCAUCUCUAGAACUCUACAUUUUAUAAAACUGCAACUCUGUACCCAUCCAUUAAACAUUUCCCCAGUCUCUGUACCCUUAGCCCCUGGCAAACACUGCUUUGUUUUAAAAAAUAAGUUUAGAAUUAAAACUAAGUUGACAGCUAAGCCUGACUCAAAUUGAUUAAUUUUACUCCUGAUUUACUCCCUAUGUGGUAUGUAUUUGAGUAUAUUCAUAUAUUUUGCUUCAGAAAUAUUAAUAUAUUUAAUUAUUAGGGACUUCCCCAGAUCCCACUGGAAAUAUAAAGUUGUUCUUAUAUGUAUUACUUCAACAAGCAAACACUUUCUGAGUUCUGAAACAUAUCAGACCUCUGGGAUUUGGUUAGGGAUUGUAGGACCUACAAUAUACUAAGGUUACUAGUAUUGUUUUAUUAUUUAAAAUUCUGUUUUAGUUUAGCUGACCUUAAGAUCUGAAAAUUCAUUUUUGAAAAAUAUAAACUCAUUCAACAUUGUAGACAUUUGCUUAAAGCCCCCGUUUUCAGGAAGCGUGUUCAACCUGUCUUAAGCCCCUCUUGGAGGAUCCUUUAUCUUUACCUUCUCCAAAUGAUACCCCUGUAGGUGUGGAGGAGGGGGUGUGUGUUUGCUGGGGGGAGUAUGCUGGGAUCAAAUCUAGGCCUAGGCCUUGUGUGUGCACUACCACUCACAUGUCCCAGUCCUGAUGUCUGUUUCUUAAACAGAUUUUGAACUCUGUUUUGGUUUAGAGCCCUACCACCAUCUCCAGAUCUUCCAAUUCCUGGGAUUUAACCACUGCCUCCCCAAACCUCCCAAACUAACCUUCUUUACAUUUUAGUAUGGGAGGUUUUAAGGAGGGGGUGAAAGUUAAUGCUUAUGUUCAAUCUGCCAUCUUUAUUAAAUAUUUAUUUAUUUGCUUUGUUUAAAGUAACUCAAUAUUUUCUGUAUGUUCAUUUUAUAUACUUUCUGUAUGUUCAUCUUUUCUUGACAGAGACCCUAGUCUUCAGUGUUUGGUGGUCCUCUUCAGGCUCCUAGAGCUAUUGUGAAAGUGUACUUGACUUUGGCCCAGAAUGUGAUUGUUUUAGCACAGAUCUGACUGGUAUUAGUGUUGUGACAUAUUCUGCAUUACUGUUUUUUUUUCUUGUUUGUCUUCCCCUAAUGUCUUCCUCAGGCUUCUAGAGGAAGGAUGAGGAAAGAGCCAGGAGGGAAGCAGAAUCAGGGGAAGGGGAAGGACAGCCAAUCAGGAGUGGGACUUUGGCAUUUGACAAAUUAUUGCUUUCUUAUAUACUUUCAACAGGAAAGCAUCUGAGGCUUUCUGGUUAAUAUAUUAGAAUCUGCAUCAUCAUAACUAUACCUAAGGAUAGUAUUAGAAAUAUUUAAUGAUGGGUAUGUUGUGGGCAGUGACCAGUUAUGGAGCACCUUUAUGCUGUGCUGAUGUAUAUAUAUAUCCAGGCUUAUACUUGGGUAUAGCAUGCCCCAGCUUUCUACAACUAUCUCCCGCUUUUAUUGCCUUUCCCUAAUUUCUGGAAUGGAGCUUUAGAGAAAUGGGUUUGGGCUAUUUUUCCUCCUUCCAGGCUCCCUCCAUGAAGCUUAAACCAAAUGUCCCUGUGCAUAGUGGCAAUAUUAGAUGCUGUGGAAUUGGAAGGUAAUGGUCCUUCCCAUAGGGGAAGUCUCUGUUAUAAGAGUGAAAUAUGGAAUUCAGAAGUAAGUGUGUGCGUGUGUGUGCGCGCGCGUGCACUCGUGCAUGUGUGUAUGGUGUAUGUGUGUGUCUUGGGGGUGUGGGUAUGUUAUCAAAACCAGACUUAGCCAAAGGAGAUUUCUGUACUGGCAGAUUUAUCCAUUAGUUUUUCUUACCUCCCCUUCUCCUUCU